RNAcentral lists this ribosomal RNA (247 nucleotides) under uncultured bacterium. Its description in RNAcentral is "partial 16S ribosomal RNA". It matches the Rfam family "Bacterial small subunit ribosomal RNA", at positions 111 to 353 of the family's 1533-position model. The record is from RNAcentral.
UAACACGUGGGUAACCUGCCUUAUAGUGGGGGGAUAGCCUUUCGAAAGGAAGAUUAAUACCGCAUAAGAUUGUAGUAUCGCAUGAUAUAGCAAUUAAAGGAGCAAUUCGCCAUAAGAUGGACCCGCGUCGCAUUAGCUAGUUGGUGAGGUAAUGGCUCACCAAGGCGACGAUGCGUAGCCGACCUGAGAGGGUGAUCGGCCACAUUGGGACUGAGACACGGCCCAGACUCCUACGGGAGGCAGCAUG